This 4325-nucleotide long non-coding RNA is filed under the name Theobroma cacao (cacao). RNAcentral describes it as "long non-coding RNA (TCAC_LNC003022)". The record is from RNAcentral. Lineage: Eukaryota; Viridiplantae; Streptophyta; Magnoliopsida; Malvales; Malvaceae.
UCUCUUCAUAUGGCCGACCAAAGCAAUAACAAAGGAAGAAAAGAAAGAACAAGAACCCUAGGGUGAAAAUUGAAGAGAAAAUUGGUGGAUUUCAAGUAAUAAAGCAAUCAAAGGUAAAAUUUCUUGAUUUUGACUUGUGAUCUACCUUUCCCAUGCAUUCUUUUGCAUUUUUCAUGGUUGAAUCACAUGAUUUCAUGAUGGGCAUCUUGCUGGCUGAACACUUAGAGAGAGGUUUUGAUGCUUCAUUUGGUUAGAUUUCAAUGAAUUUUAGUGUUUUUAGUUAGUUAGUGAUGUGUAGCAUGAAAAUCAAGCAAGAAAAAUUCAUGUUCUUCCAUCACCCAUCAUGGCCAAAUUCUCCAUGUUGAAUAUUGAUGAUUAUUUUAAUUUUAUUUCAAGUGAUUUGGUUAGGAAUUAGUGAUUUAUGGUGUGAGAAUCAAGUAGGAAAAAUCAUAAUAUUGAUGCACCAACCAUGGCCGAAUUUUUCAAGAGAAAAUGUGGGGAUGAUUUUGCCAUAUUUCAAGUUAUUUACUUUGUGUUUGAUGAUUUGGAGAAUUGGAAGAAAAAUGGAGUUAAUUGGAGUUAAAUUGGACAUAUUGGGUAAUUAAUCGGUUGGUAGAUCGAAUUAGGCCAUUACCGUUUCAUUUAGGUACACAAUUGAAUUUGUGUGGAACACUGUGUUUAGAUGAUAAUCCAAACAAUUUGCAUUCCAUUUCAUGCAUUAGUAUAGAGCCUGAAUUGGUUUUAUAACAAUUUAGCACAAAUGUAGUAAAUGGUUUAUUGUGCCUUAUGUUUAGGUGGUGAGCAUUCUGGCAAAAGUAAAGAGAUAGUACCCGAAGACCAAGAAUCGGAGUACUCGGAAUUCGACUCCAGAAAUAGUGAGUAACCUUACUAUCGUCUUAAUUAUCUAAAGUGAUUUUUAUCUGAUUUUGUGCUUUUAUGGAAAAUGAGUUUAAAUGGUAAAUCUUUAUGUUUUAUAAACAAAAUGUGCUUAAAUGAAAUGAUUUUAUAAAUUGUCUUAAAAUUGAAUGAUGGCUUUGAAAAUAGAGUAAUUGGAGACCAUUUGAUGAAUUGUGAAUUUAUGGUUCUAACUGAUUGGCUUAUGGCAAUAUUGGCAUGAAUGGCUAAAUUGGUAUUUGUGUUGUAAAUGUAGAAACUGUUGUUUGCCUUGAUAGGCUGGAGAAUGAUAAAAUUGAUAUGUCAUGCUAUUAAAUUUUAUUGAAUUGGUGGGUUAUUGAUUAGUCGCUGCAAUGGAUGGGUUACGUGGACCAGCCUAUUAGAAGAGGUAAGGUAACCCUAUUAUAUUCUUACCUCGGUCGGAGAGGUGUGUAGGGUAACUCCCGAGGUACACUUUUAGAGUUAACUUCAUGCCAAACCACCACGUGAGGGUGAAUUCAGCCAACGCCAAGGAACAGUUGUGUUUUUCAAAAUAAAAAUAUGUUUAUGUGUAUACGAAAUUUUUAAUAGCCUUGGUGGACUCGGUUGGGAUAGUCCUCGACCAAGGUAUCCCUAAUAACUGAGUAUGAUAAUGAUUUUGGCACUAGCUAAAGCUUUUAAGAAAUUCAUAAGCCAUGUUGAUUACAUAAUUUAUAUGAAUUGAUUUUAUUUGGUUGAAAUGAGUUGAAAGGUGAUGAAUUACAAUAUGAUAAUCUAUUUUAAUCUAUCUCCAUUUACUUAGCUUUAGAUAUUUUAGAUGGCAUUUAUUUACUCACUGGGAUUAUAUAAUCUCACCACCCUCCUUUCCACCCAUUUCAGGCUAAGGAUAGUCGACUACAGUUGGACUUGCAUCCUCAAAACUGUAGGUUUAUCGCUUUUGAUACUUUUGGUCGUUUAUGGGCUUACAUGUCACUGUAAAUUAAAUCUUAUACUUUGGUUAUCUGUAUUACAGUAUGUAUAAAUUUAUUUAGCUUUCAUGCUACAAAAUUAUUUACCGGUAACUUUAUAAAUAUUGUUUAUUAAGAAAAAUAAGAAUAAUUUGUAUUGAAUAUUUUUAUUUAUAUUCNUAGUUUUUAAGGUAUUUUAGUGUUUUUAGUUGAUUAGUGAUGUGUAGCAUGAAAAGCCAACAAGAAAAAUUCAUUUUCUCCCAUCACCCAUCAUUGGCGGAAUUCUCCAUGUGGACUAUUGAUGAUGAUUUUGAUUUUAUUUCAAGUGAUUUGGUUAGGAAUUAGUGAUUUAUGGUGUGAGAAAUAAGUAGGAAAAAUCAUAGCAUUGAUGCACCCACCAUGGCCGAAUUUUCCAAGAGAAAAUGUGAGGAUGAUUUUGCCAUAUUUCAAGUUAUUUAAUUUGUGUUUAAUGAUUUGGAGAAUUGGUAGAAAAAUGGAAUUAUUUAGAGUUAAAUUGGACAUAUUGGCCAAUUAAUCGAGUGAUAAAUCAAAUUAGGCCAAUACCGUUUUAUUUAGGUACACAAUUGAAUUUGUGUAGAGCACCGUGUUUAGAUGAUAAUCCGAACAAUUUGCAUCCCAUUUCAUACAUUAGUAUAAAGCUUGAAUUGGUUUUAUAACAAUUUAGCAUAAAUGUAGUAAAUGGCUUAUUGUGCAUAUGUCUAGGUGGUGUGCAUUCUGGCAAAAGUAAAGAGAUAGUACCCGAGGAUCAAGAAUCGGAGUACAUGGAAUUCGACUCCCGAAAUAGUGAGUAACCUUACUAUCGUCUUAAUUAUCUAAAGUGGUUUUUAUCUGAUUUUGUGAUUUUAUGGAAAAUGAGUUUAAAUGGUAAAUCUUUAUGUUUUAUAAACAAAAUGUGUUUAAAUGAAAUGAUUUUAUAAAUUGUCUUAAAAUUGAAUGAUGGCUUUGAAAAUAGAGUAAUUGGAGACCAUUUGAUGUAUUGUGAAUUUAUGGUUCUAAUUGAUUGGCUUAUGGCAAUAUUGGCAUGAAUGGCUGAAUUGGUAUUUGUGUUGAAACGGUAUAUACUGUUGUUUACCUUGAUAGGCUGGAUAAUGAUAAAAUUGCCAUGUCAUGCUAUUAAAUUUUAUUGAAUUGGUGGGUUAUUGAUUAGUCGCUGCAGUGGACGGGUUCCGUGGACUAGCCUAUUAGAGCGGGCACGGUAACCCUAUUAUAUUCAUACCUCAGUAUGAGAGGCACGGAUGGAUAACUCCUGAGGUUAACACUUUAGAGUUCACUUCACGCCAAACCACCACGUGAGGGUGAACUCAGCCAAUGCCAAGGAAUGACUAUGUUUUAAAAAUAAAAACAUGAUUUAUACGUACAUAACUUUUUAACAGCCUUGGUGGAAUCAGUUGGGAUAGUCCUCAGCCAAGGUAUCCUUGAUAACUGAGUAUGAGAAUGAUUUUGGCACGAGCCAAAGUUUUAAGAAAUUCAUAAGCCAUGUUGAUUACUCGAUUUAUGUAAAUUGAUUUUGUUUGGUUGAAAUGAGUUGAAAGGUGAUAAAUUACAGUAUGAUGAUCUAUUUUAAUCUGUCUCCAUUUACUCAGCUUUAGAUAUUUUAGAUGGUAUUUGUUUACUCACUGGGAUUAUAUAAUCUCACCACCCUCCUUUCCAGCCAUUUCAGGCUCAGGAUAGUCGGUAGAUAGCUCACUUUGUUGAAGGCUACAGUUGGACUUGCAUCUUAAAAAACUGUAGGUUUACCGCUUUUGAUACUUUUAGUUGUUCGUGGGCCCACAUGUCACUGUAAAUUAAAUUUUAUACUUUGGUUAUCUGUAUUACAGUAUGUAUGAAUUUAUUUAGCUUUUACGCUACAAAAAAAUUAUUUACCGGUAACUCUAUAAAUAUUGUUUUAUAAAAAAAUAGAAUAUUUUAUUGAAUAUUUUUAUUAUAUUCAAAUAGUUAUAAUUUCACUUUAAAUGAAUGUUUUAGAUAGCUAAACUUAUUUUUGAUUAUGAAAUAUGUGUUUUCCACUUGCAUACUACAUUUUUAGCUAGUUUCAAGAUUUUUGAGGAAAAAUGACCAAAAUGCCCGUGUGAGACAAAAAUUAUUUUUCUAUUGUUUUGAUUUGGAAAUAGUUUAUAAUCUCUCAAACCAUGAUAUUUAACAACUGUCGCUCACAGGGGAGGUGAGAAAAACUUAUAUAAAAGACUUACAAGGUUUUAAUCGGCAUUUUGGGCGAUGAAUGUCUAUCGGGACAUCGCAGCGGUUGUCACGGGCUCGAAGGGAGUACCGGGUCGUGACAACUAGACUGAAAACUGUUGUUAUAUGCAAACUCCACCAAUGACAAGUGUCUGUCCCAACUCCCCAUAAAGUCAAUGACACAAGCCCGUAGCAUAUCUUCCAAAGUCUGAAUGGUCCUUUCUGAUUGACCAUCUGUCUGUAGAUGAAAGGCAAUGCUAAACCUUAAAUUAGUUCUGAGAGCAUCCUGAAAUUUCGGCCAAAAUCGAG